This is a microRNA precursor of Gallus gallus (chicken), 83 nucleotides long. The record is from Ensembl. Lineage: Eukaryota; Metazoa; Chordata; Aves; Galliformes; Phasianidae.
UCUACAUGGGGAGGUUAGUGCGCGGUAAGCUAGGGUGUGAGCUGACAGCACGCUAGCUGCUCUGCACUGACUGCCCCUGUGGA